GCCAUCUAUUCGGAGCAUCAGUUGUUAUCACCGGCCAUAAUUUCCAGCAAACUCACAACAAUUGUCUUCUGCUUGGUGCAGGAAAUGGCAGAGGCUGUGACGAAAGAUUUUGGAAGGAUUGACAUCUUUGUGCAUUCUCUUGCCAAUGGACCAGAGGUAACGAAGCCACUCUUGGAGACAUCUAGAAGAGGGUAUCUUGCUACAAUUUCAGCUUCGAGUUACUCUUUUGUCUCCCUGCUUCGACACUUUCUUCCAAUAAUGAAUCCAGCGGUGCUUCAAUAUCUUUGACAUACAUAGCUUCC
Long non-coding RNA from Zingiber officinale, 302 nucleotides. RefSeq lists it as uncharacterized. The record is from RefSeq and is a predicted model, not a curated record. Lineage: Eukaryota; Viridiplantae; Streptophyta; Magnoliopsida; Zingiberales; Zingiberaceae. The transcript is spliced from 4 exons.